GACGAACGCUGGCGGCGUGCUUAACACAUGCAAGUCGAACGGAAAGGCCCUGCUUUUGUGGGGUGCUCGAGUGGCGAACGGGUGAGUAACACGUGAGUAACCUGCCCUUGACUUUGGGAUAACUUCAGGAAACUGGGGCUAAUACCGGAUAGGAGCUCCUGCUGCAUGGUGGGGGUUGGAAAGUUUCGGCGGUUGGGGAUGGACUCGCGGCUUAUCAGCUUGUUGGUGGGGUAGUGGCUUACCAAGGCUUUGACGGGUAGCCGGCCUGAGAGGGUGACCGGCCACAUUGGGAAUGAGAUACGGCCCAGACUCCUACGGGAGGCAGCAGGGGGGAAUAUUGCACCAUGGGCGGAAGCCUGAUGCAGCAACGCCGCGGGCGGGAUGACGGCCUUCGGGUUGUAAACCGCUUUCGCCUGUGACGAAGCGUGAGUGACGGUAAUGGGUAAAGAAGCACCGGCUAACUACGUG
Molecule: ribosomal RNA, 468 nt
Filed under: uncultured bacterium
Lineage: Bacteria
Description: partial 16S ribosomal RNA
Rfam family: Bacterial small subunit ribosomal RNA
Source: RNAcentral